CGGGGGCCCGCACAAGCGGAGGAACAUGUGGUUUAAUUCGAUGAUACGCGAGGAACCUUACCUGGGCUAGAACGCAGAAUGACAGAUGCCGAAAGGUGUUUUCCCAGCAAUGGGCAUUUUGCGAGGUGCUGCAUGGUUGUCGUCAGCUCGUGUCGUGAGAUGUUGGGUUAAGUCCCGCAACGAGCGCAACCCUCGCCUUUAGUUGCCAGCAUUCAGUUGGGCACUCUAGAGGGACUGCCGGUGUCAAACCGGAGGAAGGUGGGAUGACGUCAAGUCCUCAUGGCCUUUAUGUCUAGGGCUACACACGUACUACAAUGGCCGGUACAAAGGGCAGCCACUCAGCGAUGAGGCGCUAAUCCCAUAAAGCCGGUCUCAGUCCGGAUCGCAGUCUGCAACUCGACUGCGUGAAGUUGGAAUCGCUAGUAAUCGUAGAUCAGCAUGCUACGGUGAAUACGUUCCCGGGCCUU
RNAcentral lists this ribosomal RNA (467 nucleotides) under uncultured Desulfovibrio sp. RNAcentral's name for it is "bacterial SSU rRNA". It matches the Rfam family "Bacterial small subunit ribosomal RNA", at positions 914 to 1382 of the family's 1533-position model. The record is from RNAcentral. Lineage: Bacteria; Pseudomonadati; Thermodesulfobacteriota; Desulfovibrionia; Desulfovibrionales; Desulfovibrionaceae.